UACAGAGGGGGCAAGCGUUGAUCGGAAUUACUGGGGGUAAAGGGCGCGUAGGUGGUUUGUUAAGUUGGAUGUGAAAGACCCGGGCUCAACCUGGGAACUGCAUCUAAUACUGGCAAGCUAGAGUACGGUAGAGGGUGGUGGAAUUUCCUGUGUAGCGGUGAAAUGCGUAGAUAUAGGAAGGAACACCAAUGGCGAAGGCGACCACCUGGACUGAUACUGACACUGAGGUGCGAAAACGUGGGGAGCAAACAGG
RNAcentral lists this unclassified non-coding RNA (253 nucleotides) under uncultured Pseudomonadaceae bacterium. RNAcentral's name for it is "contains 16S-23S intergenic spacer region". It matches the Rfam family "Bacterial small subunit ribosomal RNA", at positions 524 to 776 of the family's 1533-position model. Lineage: Bacteria; Pseudomonadati; Pseudomonadota; Gammaproteobacteria; Pseudomonadales; Pseudomonadaceae. The record is from RNAcentral.